Molecule: long non-coding RNA, 343 nt
Organism: Myotis lucifugus (little brown bat)
Lineage: Eukaryota; Metazoa; Chordata; Mammalia; Chiroptera; Vespertilionidae
Exons: 4
Source: RefSeq, a predicted model, not a curated record
UGUCUAAAAGGAGUUGCUGUUGGAGUUCCAGAUCGGAAAAAACUGAAAGUGAUCUAUAUAUUUUUUUCUGCAGGGAAGAGACUUCCAUCUUAAAAUAUUGUUGCCUGAAGAUUUGCAGCUGAAGAAUGCAAGAUUACUAUGUAGUUGGAAGCUGAGGACAAUACUUUGUGGAUACCACCAAAUAAUACAACAAAGAAUGAAGCACUCUCCUGAUCUAAUGAGCUUUAUGAUGGAGUUGAAGAUGGUCUUGGUAGGUAUUUGUUUUCUAACACUGCUACCAUAAGUCUUGAUUGCUUUUGUAAUUCCUGUAUCUUUUAUAUCUUACUGUGAAAAUCUUGGUUUC